This 286-nucleotide ribosomal RNA is filed under the name uncultured cyanobacterium. Its description in RNAcentral is "partial 16S ribosomal RNA". It matches the Rfam family "Bacterial small subunit ribosomal RNA", at positions 1096 to 1384 of the family's 1533-position model. Lineage: Bacteria; Bacillati; Cyanobacteriota. The record is from RNAcentral.
GCGCACCCUCGUUCUUAGUUGCCAUCAUUCAGUUGGGCACUCUAGGGAGACUGCCGGUGAUAAACCGGAGGAAGGUGGGGAUGACGUCAAGUCAUCAUGCCCCUUACGUCCUGGGCUACACACGUACUACAAUGGGUGGGACAAAGGGCAGCGAACUCGCAAGAGCCAGCUAAUCCCAUAAACCCAUCCUCAGUUCAGAUUGCUCUCUGCAACUCGAGAGCAUGAAGGAGGAAUCGCUAGUAAUCGCAGGUCAGCAUACUGCGGUGAAUACGUUCCCGGGCCUUGU